AUUGAACGCUGGCGGCAUGCCUUACACAUGCAAGUCGAACGGCAGCAUGAUCUAGCUUGCUAGAUUGAUGGCGAGUGGCGAACGGGUGAGUAAUACAUCGGAACGUGCCCUGUAGUGGGGGAUAACUAGUCGAAAGAUUAGCUAAUACCGCAUACGACCUGAGGGUGAAAGUGGGGGACCGCAAGGCCUCAUGCUAUAGGAGCGGCCGAUGUCUGAUUAGCUAGUUGGUGAGGUAAAGGCUCACCAAGGCGACGAUCAGUAGCUGGUCUGAGAGGACGAUCAGCCACACUGGGACUGAGACACGGCCCAGACUCCUACGGGAGGCAGCAGUGGGGAAUUUUGGACAAUGGGGGCAACCCUGAUCCAGCAAUGCCGCGUGUGUGAAGAAGGCCUUCGGGUUGUAAAGCACUUUUGUCCGGAAAGAAAUCGCACUUACUAAUAU
This 442-nucleotide ribosomal RNA is filed under the name Burkholderia sp. oral taxon 406. RNAcentral's name for it is "bacterial SSU rRNA". It matches the Rfam family "Bacterial small subunit ribosomal RNA", at positions 30 to 465 of the family's 1533-position model. Lineage: Bacteria; Pseudomonadati; Pseudomonadota; Betaproteobacteria; Burkholderiales; Burkholderiaceae. The record is from RNAcentral.